This 484-nucleotide ribosomal RNA is filed under the name uncultured bacterium. RNAcentral describes it as "partial 16S ribosomal RNA". It matches the Rfam family "Bacterial small subunit ribosomal RNA", at positions 28 to 523 of the family's 1533-position model. The record is from RNAcentral.
GAUGAACGCUGGCGGCGUGCUUAACACAUGCAAGUCGAACGGUGAAGCAGGAGCUUGCUCUUGUGGAUCAGUGGCGAACGGGUGAGUAACACGUGAGCAACCUGCCCCUGACUCUGGAGUAAGCGCUGGAAACGGCGUCUAAUACUGGAUAUGUGAUGUGAACGCAUGGUCUGCAUCUGGAAAGAAUUUCGGUUGGGGAUGGGCUCGCGGCCUAUAAGCUUGUUGGUGGGGUAAUGGCUCACGAAGGGGUCGACGGGUACCCGGCCUGAGAGGGUGACCGGCCACACUAGGACUGAGACACGGCCCAGACUCCUACGGGAGGCAGCAGUGGGGAAUAUUGCACAAUGGGCGGAAGCCUGAUGAAGCAACGCCGCGUGAGGGAUGACGGCCUUCGGGUUGUAAACCUCUUUUAGCAGAGAAGAAGCGAAAGUGACGGUACCUGCAGAAAAAGCACCGGCUAACUACGUGCCAGCCGCCGCCGUAA